AACGAACGCUGGCGGCGUGCUUAACACAUGCAAGUCGGAUGCGAAAGGGGCUUUCGGGCGCUGAGUAGCAUGGCAGACGGGUGAGGAGUGCGUAUCUGACGGAACUCAGGCAGGGGGAUAGUCCUCCGAAAGGGGGUUGAAUACCGCAUGUGCUCAGGAGUGUCAUGCUCUUGAGGAAAGAUGGCCUCUGCAUGCAAGCUGUUGGCCUGAGACCGGGAUGCGUCCUAUUAGCUAGCUGGUGGGGUAAUGGCCUACCAGGGCGACGAUGGGUAGCUGGUCUGAGAGGAUGAUCAGCCACACUGGAACUGCGACACGGUCCAGACUCCUACGGGAGGCAG
Molecule: ribosomal RNA, 338 nt
Filed under: uncultured Pseudomonadota bacterium
Lineage: Bacteria; Pseudomonadati; Pseudomonadota
Description: bacterial SSU rRNA
Rfam family: Bacterial small subunit ribosomal RNA
Source: RNAcentral